Molecule: transfer RNA, 72 nt
Filed under: Myxococcaceae bacterium
Lineage: Bacteria; Pseudomonadati; Myxococcota; Myxococcia; Myxococcales; Myxococcaceae
Description: tRNA-Val
Rfam family: tRNA
About the family: Transfer RNA (tRNA) molecules are approximately 80 nucleotides in length. Their secondary structure includes four short double-helical elements and three loops (D, anti-codon, and T loops).
Source: RNAcentral
GCGCGAGGAGCUCGAGCGGUCGAGCAUCGGUCUUACACACCGAGGGACAGGGUUCGACUCCCUGCUUGCGUA